This is a small nucleolar RNA of Lathyrus oleraceus (garden pea), 105 nucleotides long. NCBI's taxonomy places the organism in Eukaryota, Viridiplantae, Streptophyta, Magnoliopsida, Fabales, Fabaceae. The record is from RefSeq and is a predicted model, not a curated record.
AGUCCAUGAAAUGGGCAUAACCUCAAUAAAUCCUUGAAACACUCUCAAGCGUCAAACAAAGAUUCCCCCCACUCUUGCCUAAAAUUAUUUAUCUCACUCCUCACU